UGGGAUAGCUCAGUUGGUGGAGUACAAGAUGUCUAAUCUCAAGGUCGUGGGUUCAAGCCCCACACUGGGCAAAA
Non-coding RNA from Podarcis lilfordi (Lilford's wall lizard), 74 nucleotides. Lineage: Eukaryota; Metazoa; Chordata; Lepidosauria; Squamata; Lacertidae. The record is from the annotation of a GenBank genome assembly.